This is a long non-coding RNA of Cygnus olor (mute swan), 571 nucleotides long. RefSeq lists it as uncharacterized. The record is from RefSeq and is a predicted model, not a curated record. The transcript is spliced from 3 exons. NCBI's taxonomy places the organism in Eukaryota, Metazoa, Chordata, Aves, Anseriformes, Anatidae.
UUGCUGAUGUGUGCCAUUGAGGUCACAGUGGUGGAAUAGCUCACAUCACAGCAGUACUGCAGGGAAUGAUACAGUGUCCUUAGGAAAGCCAAGCUGGGGGAGCAGGAAGAGGGCUCCUGCUGCACACAGGAGCAGUUUGUGCAUGCAAGAGCUCUGCAAUGGUCUGAGCAAGGGGACAGCUGAGAGUUUACCUGUCAGGAUCAGUGAGGUCUCCAACUUGUGCAUGCCAUGAACUAGGAAGGUGAAGAUCUGAAAUUCAUACUGGGCCUGAUCCUGCACUGAAUAGUGGUAAAACCAGAGUUAAGAAGAAUGGGAAAAAGUCAUGUUAUCAUACUUAAUCCUGAGAGCAAUACCACCAAGGCAAAUGGAAGGGCACAGUUCUUCUCCAGUAAUUUCAGUUCUACUUGCCAAAGGAGAUGGGUUGCUGAUUAAAUUUGUUUGAUCAUGCACCAACAGACUGAUGACCUCCCACUGCCUGCGGUAACUGCUCCCUCACUUUUUCAAAUGUGUGUCUUUACUAUUUUGACUUCAUCUGUAGCCUUGUUUAAUAAAAAUGAAGUAAUUUGUCUGG